Molecule: long non-coding RNA, 1020 nt
Organism: Marmota monax (woodchuck)
Lineage: Eukaryota; Metazoa; Chordata; Mammalia; Rodentia; Sciuridae
Exons: 3
Source: RefSeq, a predicted model, not a curated record
UGUGUACAAACACAAAAGACACGCCGAGGGGCAGCCGGCUCCCGCCGAGAGGGCCGCCCGCCCCCAUCUAACUCUUGCCCCGGGUCCUGUACUCCCACCCCACUCCGUGCGCCCACGUCAUCGAGACCCCGAAGCCUAGGAAGCUUGCAAAUGGAAACCUGGCGUCCUGCGCCCACUUUCGGAUGGGGCUGCUGCAGCAGCUGGCGGGCGGACCGGCGGUCCUGUAACCUCUGUUGCUCCGGGCUAAGCGCGGCCGGGUCCUGCGGGUCGGGCUGAGUGCCUGCGGACAACUUUAUCCGCUCAGACUCCAGCCGCGGCGGAGCGGGCAGCCAAGCCUGCAGAACAGACUUCAUGGCUCAAGCUACCCUCAUUAACUGGCGGUUGAUUGGCUAACAAACAGCUGAACCUUCCUAGAUAUUGACAACGCUCUACAACUGUCUGUGCACGUUUUCCGUAGAAGUGUCAUGAAGACAUCCCAUAGGAUGGUGAAGGAGACAAAUUUCACAGAUAAAGGACACUACUAUCUGUAAUCUGAAGACCUCAAAAGCAUCUUAGUCAUAAACAUUAUCCUGAAACAGAUAAAUGGAAAUCAGAUAUGAGGGAAGGAAUGGAUUGGUCCAAGGUCACUUAAGUGAGGAACAGACCUAGGAGAAACAAAAUAAUCCAAGCUUGUUUCAUUAUUAUUUAAUGAAUGUUAAGUGUCCAUGGUUGCUAUACAGAACACAUAAAAUCUGCGAUCCUGUCUUAAAAGCACAUGCAAAAAAUCCUCAGCUUAGCUGCCAGCGAAGAAUUCCUACAGUUUAACCCAAGGGAAAGAGGUUUUUUUGUUUUUCUUUUUUGUUUUGUUUUCAGGAAACCAAAAUAUUUGUUGCUGGAUUUAUACAGGAAGGCUGUUGUACAUCAGUUAAAUUCAUAUUGUCAAGAAAUGUUAAAAUGACAGGGGUAAUGUUCUCUUUGUAUGCUAUAUUUUCCCAUAAGUUUCUUCUUCCAGGCUUUAAAUAAAUGCCUAAGGAAUGGAAA